This 454-nucleotide ribosomal RNA is filed under the name uncultured bacterium. Its description in RNAcentral is "partial 16S ribosomal RNA". It matches the Rfam family "Bacterial small subunit ribosomal RNA", at positions 28 to 507 of the family's 1533-position model. The record is from RNAcentral.
GAUGAACGCUGACAGAAUGCUUAACACAUGCAAGUCCACUUGAACUUCGGUUUGGGUGGCGGACGGGUGAGUAACGCGUAAAGAACUUGCCUCACAGAUAGGGACAACAUUUGGAAACGAAUGCUAAUACCUGAUAUUAUGAUUAUAUGGCAUCGUAUAAUUAUGAAAGCUAUAUGCGCUGUGAGAGAGCUUUGCGUCCCAUUAGCUAGUUGGAGAGGUAACGGCUCACCAAGGCGAUGAUGGGUAGCCGGCCUGAGAGGGUGAUCGGCCACAAGGGGACUGAGACACGGCCCUUACUCCUACGGGAGGCAGCAGUGGGGAAUAUUGGACAAUGGACCAAGAGUCUGAUACAGCAAUUCUGUGUGCACGAUGAAGUUUUUCGGAAUGUAAAGUGCUUUCAGUUGGGAAGAAAAAAAUGACGGUACCAACAGAAGAAGUGACGGCUAAAUACGUG